AGAUUGGUUACUGUGAGAAGAAGGUAAUAUACAACCAUCUGAUGUUUUUGUUAUUGCUAUUCUUUGUCCUAUGCUUACAUUAGUGAUUAAAAUAGCAAAUGUUCAAUGAUAUCUUCUGCAGUUGUUGGAAGGCAUAUUAAUCAUGGUUUGGACAGUACAAAAGGAAAUCAAAGAACAAUUCAGUUAUACAUUUCUGAAUUAUACUGUUCAAUUUUAACCAUAUGAGCCUAAUUUGCUAAUCUUAUCUGUCAUUCAGUUGCAUAAUUUUGCUUCAUUAUGUUGUAAUAAUUGCUAUUAUAUUUAUUUUUCUGACUAUAAUUAUUUUUGGUUGAUAUAAUUCAGGCAAUGAGAGUUUAGUGACAUCCUAUGCAUUUGUUGGGUUGGGGUUUCUCAAUGAGGUCAAUAAAAGAAAUGAUAUGUUUGCAAAAGCAACGAGCUCUUGAUUUAUUUAUUGCAUUCUUGGAAUACCUUGUUGUAGGGCUGAGCAGAAUUCGGU
This 496-nucleotide unclassified non-coding RNA is filed under the name Hevea brasiliensis (rubber tree). The record is from RNAcentral. Lineage: Eukaryota; Viridiplantae; Streptophyta; Magnoliopsida; Malpighiales; Euphorbiaceae.